UCAGUUUCUAGAAAAUAAACAACAUUUUUUUCUUUUUUUAUUCCAACAGUUAUUUAGGGCAAUUAAAAUAUCUGGUUUCCAAACACUAUCAGUCAGUGGAAAAGAAUUUGAAGAUGUGGAUGAAAUGAAUUCAGAUACAUUACAGAUGAAAAUAUGAAUGCCCUUUAAAGAGCUUCAAAUAUUCAUACUGAAAUGGCAAGAGGAGAGAUCUGUUUCUACGGGAAACACUAAUCACAAACCAAGACAAAGCUUUGAACUUCAUGGAGUCUGUAAGACAUUUUGGCCACUCACUAAAAAUCUGCCUGUUUUCCCAAAGUCAAAAUCCCCCUCUUCCCCUGAAGAGGUAACAACUUUAAGGUGCAUUCCAAGACACUCGGCUGUGAUUCUGAUAUCGAAUAUCAGCAAAGGAAGACCCUUCUCCCCCAGCCCAGCCCAGAGAGCAAUGUAAGCAGCCUACUUCAUUCGGAGACUCAUCAAGGACUUCACCGCUUAGUUUACUCUUAGGUCUCAGAAUCGGAGAUGUUGAUGAUUUGUUAAUGCUGCACAUUGAUUCCUAUGUCACAGGUCAAGGUUCAUAGCCCAAAGUAACAAGGAGUCCUCAUGUUGCUUGUGACCUCUCCCAGAUAGACAGAACUUUGUGUUUGUCUCCUUCAUACUACCCUGUCCUCACAGAGUGUGACUCCUUAUCCUACCCCUAAAACUCAGGACAUGGCGCCUGGCUUCCUUAACAAUUUCCAAUGAGUAAGCGUUCUGUGUAUUUAUCAGCUAUUCUGUAGUUUAUAGCUGAAAUUUUCUACACUAUUUCAGUUGUUCCCCAGAGAAAAUCACUACUUUUAAAACGUGUUUAGAAAACUUUAGCACAAUACUUUAUAAAAUACCUGUCUAGUUCCCUAGUCUUGACGCAUGAAAAAGAUGUUCAAGAACUGAGAGCAGUGAGGGUCUUAGGCACCCAAUACCCUGGGUUGCUGGAGCAGUUCGGAGCAUGUGAGAGGUAGGCAUGUAGAUAUGGGCUGUCCAUUUUUUAUCAGUCCGUUAUUAUGACAUUAAUUUUGGCAAUUUUCACCACUCAUGAGAUUUUAAAAUUUUCUCUGCUUCCUUUGAAUUUCUCUUUUGUACUGUUGAAGCUGUACUGUACUUCAUGCAAUGUUGUUUUGGGGACGGUGCUGGAGGGGAGGGUGACCAAUAAAAGCUGCGCACAAAAUUCAUGAGCUCCCCCUGCUGUUGUACAGCGGACAAUACAAGCUCCUGCAAUUUUCAUUUCCAGAAGCACCCAAGUAAAGCAAUUGAUUCCUUUGUGGGUUUGCUUGACCUAACAUUUUUAAAAAAUGCUAGCUUAUUUAUUUAUUUAUUUAACUGUGCAGAAGAUUGAAUAUAGGACUUUCAACACAUUAGGUAAGUAUUCUACUGCUGUUAUAGCCCAGCCCUGCUGGAUCUCAGAGGCAGAUUAAUACUAAUUUCCUUCUGAAAGUUUACAAAGUCACAAUUUUAUUUGGGCCAUCACUUAAGCUAAGGCAAGGGGAUUGCUGCUGUGAUUUAAGAAGCAGGUCUGUACCAUUAUUUAUUUAUUUAUUUAUCUAUUGUCUUUUGAGACAGGGUUU
This 1598-nucleotide long non-coding RNA is filed under the name Chinchilla lanigera (long-tailed chinchilla). RNAcentral's name for it is "lncRNA (ENSCLAG00000022399.1)". The record is from RNAcentral. Lineage: Eukaryota; Metazoa; Chordata; Mammalia; Rodentia; Chinchillidae.